RNAcentral lists this ribosomal RNA (220 nucleotides) under uncultured Entrophospora. RNAcentral's name for it is "uncultured Claroideoglomus partial small subunit ribosomal RNA". It matches the Rfam family "Eukaryotic small subunit ribosomal RNA", at positions 591 to 810 of the family's 1831-position model. Lineage: Eukaryota; Fungi; Glomeromycota; Glomeromycetes; Entrophosporales; Entrophosporaceae. The record is from RNAcentral.
CCAAUAGCGUAUAUUAAAGUUGUUGCAGUUAAAAAGCUCGUAGUUGAAUUUCGGGAUUGACGUGAUGGUCAUGCCUUAAGGGGUAUGAACUGUCACUGUUGAUUUCUCACCUUCUGGAGAAACUUGAUGUCCUUUAUUGGGUGUCUUGCGGAUCCAGGACCUUUACCUUGAAAAAAUUAGAGUGUUUAAAGCAGGCAUUUUUGCUCGAAUACAUUAGCAU